This 303-nucleotide ribosomal RNA is filed under the name Triticum aestivum (bread wheat). RNAcentral describes it as "partial small subunit ribosomal RNA". Lineage: Eukaryota; Viridiplantae; Streptophyta; Magnoliopsida; Poales; Poaceae. The record is from RNAcentral.
AUGUGCACUUUCUGUACUUUUCCUUGCUCAGACAGUAUAGAUGCAGGUUGGAUGGGCUUCCCGUUUGUGAGCUUGAGUACUGCAUUUGUUGACACUGUUUACCAACAUGCAGGAAUCAGAUCAUUAAACUUCCCGUUGUCCUUGCCAGGGUCCCACUGCCAUUGUGCAUCCUUUUCAAAUGAGUAUUCCCACAAGGAAAAAAAUGCUCUUGCCUUGUAUCUGCUGUUGUGCAGGGAUUAUAGCAUCACAUCCAGUUACGGGGAAAAUAUGCAGAAUCCCAUGUAUUCAGAGAGUGCUAUCUAA